This 2395-nucleotide ribosomal RNA is filed under the name Escherichia coli. Its description in RNAcentral is "partial 23S ribosomal RNA". It matches the Rfam family "Bacterial large subunit ribosomal RNA", at positions 417 to 2797 of the family's 2925-position model. The record is from RNAcentral. Lineage: Bacteria; Pseudomonadati; Pseudomonadota; Gammaproteobacteria; Enterobacterales; Enterobacteriaceae.
GCGGGACACGUGGUAUCCUGUCUGAAUAUGGGGGGACCAUCCUCCAAGGCUAAAUACUCCUGACUGACCGAUAGUGAACCAGUACCGUGAGGGAAAGGCGAAAAGAACCCCGGCGAGGGGAGUGAAAAAGAACCUGAAACCGUGUACGUACAAGCAGUGGGAGCCUCUUAAUGGGGUGACUGCGUACCUUUUGUAUAAUGGGUCAGCGACUUAUAUUCUGUAGCAAGGUUAACCGAAUAGGGGAGCCGAAGGGAAACCGAGUCUUAACUGGGCGUUAAGUUGCAGGGUAUAGACCCGAAACCCGGUGAUCUAGCCAUGGGCAGGUUGAAGGUUGGGUAACACUAACUGGAGGACCGAACCGACUAAUGUUGAAAAAUUAGCGGAUGACUUGUGGCUGGGGGUGAAAGGCCAAUCAAACCGGGAGAUAGCUGGUUCUCCCCGAAAGCUAUUUAGGUAGCGCCUCGUGAAUUCAUCUCCGGGGGUAGAGCACUGUUUCGGCAAGGGGGUCAUCCCGACUUACCAACCCGAUGCAAACUGCGAAUACCGGAGAAUGUUAUCACGGGAGACACACGGCGGGUGCUAACGUCCGUCGUGAAGAGGGAAACAACCCAGACCGCCAGCUAAGGUCCCAAAGUCAUGGUUAAGUGGGAAACGAUGUGGGAAGGCCCAGACAGCCAGGAUGUUGGCUUAGAAGCAGCCAUCAUUUAAAGAAAGCGUAAUAGCUCACUGGUCGAGUCGGCCUGCGCGGAAGAUGUAACGGGGCUAAACCAUGCACCGAAGCUGCGGCAGCGACACUAUGUGUUGUUGGGUAGGGGAGCGUUCUGUAAGCCUGUGAAGGUGGCCUGUGAGGGGUGCUGGAGGUAUCAGAAGUGCGAAUGCUGACAUAAGUAACGAUAAAGCGGGUGAAAAGCCCGCUCGCCGGAAGACCAAGGGUUCCUGUCCAACGUUAAUCGGGGCAGGGUGAGUCGACUCCUAAGGCGAGGCCGAAAGGCGUAGUCGAUGGGAAACAGGUUAAUAUUCCUGUACUUGGUGUUACUGCGAAGGGGGGACGGAGAAGGCUAUGUUGGCCGGGCGACGGUUGUCCCGGUUUAAGCGUGUAGGCUGGUUUUCCAGGCAAAUCCGGAAAACCAAGGCUGAGGCGUGAUGACGAGGCACUACGGUGCUGAAGUGACAAAUGCCCUGCUUCCAGGAAAAGCCUCUAAGCAUCAGGUAACAUCAAAUCGUACCCCAAACCGACACAGGUGGUCAGGUAGAGAAUACCAAGGCGCUUGAGAGAACUCGGGUGAAGGAACUAGGCAAAAUGGUGCCGUAACUUCGGGAGAAGGCACGCUGAUAUGUAGGUGAAGCGACUUGCUCGUGGAGCUGAAAUCAGUCGAAGAUACCAGCUGGCUGCAACUGUUUAUUAAAAACACAGCACUGUGCAAACACGAAAGUGGACGUAUACGGUGUGACGCCUGCCCGGUGCCGGAAGGUUAAUUGAUGGGGUUAGCGGUAACGCGAAGCUCUUGAUCGAAGCCCCGGUAAACGGCGGCCGUAACUAUAACGGUCCUAAGGUAGCGAAAUUCCUUGUCGGGUAAGUUCCGACCUGCACGAAUGGCGUAAUGAUGGCCAGGCUGUCUCCACCCGAGACUCAGUGAAAUUGAACUCGCUGUGAAGAUGCAGUGUACCCGCGGCAAGACGGAAAGACCCCGUGAACCUUUACUAUAGCUUGACACUGAACAUUGAGCCUUGAUGUGUAGGAUAGGUGGGAGGCUUUGAAGUGUGGACGCCAGUCUGCAUGGAGCCGACCUUGAAAUACCACCCUUUAAUGUUUGAUGUUCUAACGUUGGCCCGUAAUCCGGGUUGCGGACAGUGUCUGGUGGGUAGUUUGACUGGGGCGGUCUCCUCCUAAAGAGUAACGGAGGAGCACGAAGGUUGGCUAAUCCUGGUCGGACAUCAGGAGGUUAGUGCAAUGGCAUAAGCCAGCUUGACUGCGAGCGUGACGGCGCGAGCAGGUGCGAAAGCAGGUCAUAGUGAUCCGGUGGUUCUGAAUGGAAGGGCCAUCGCUCAACGGAUAAAAGGUACUCCGGGGAUAACAGGCUGAUACCGCCCAAGAGUUCAUAUCGACGGCGGUGUUUGGCACCUCGAUGUCGGCUCAUCACAUCCUGGGGCUGAAGUAGGUCCCAAGGGUAUGGCUGUUCGCCAUUUAAAGUGGUACGCGAGCUGGGUUUAGAACGUCGUGAGACAGUUCGGUCCCUAUCUGCCGUGGGCGCUGGAGAACUGAGGGGGGCUGCUCCUAGUACGAGAGGACCGGAGUGGACGCAUCACUGGUGUUCGGGUUGUCAUGCCAAUGGCACUGCCCGGUAGCUAAAUGCGGAAGAGAUAAGUGCUGAAAGCAUCUAAGCACGAAACUUGC